GCCGGGAGUGGGCGAUCUGGUGCGCCCGUCCGCCUCGAAAGCGGAUUGCGAAAGCUAUCGGGGUUCAAAUCCCUGUCCCGGCG
Molecule: transfer RNA, 83 nt
Filed under: Candidatus Woesearchaeota archaeon
Lineage: Archaea; Nanobdellati; Candidatus Woesearchaeota
Description: tRNA-Ser
Rfam family: tRNA
About the family: Transfer RNA (tRNA) molecules are approximately 80 nucleotides in length. Their secondary structure includes four short double-helical elements and three loops (D, anti-codon, and T loops).
Source: RNAcentral